GUGGGGAAUUUUGCGCAAUGGGCGAAAGCCUGACGCAGCAACGCCGCGUGGAGGAUGAAGGCCUUCGGGUCGUAAACUCCUGUCAGUGGGGACGAAUGCUUCGCAAGAAGUUUGACUGUACCCGCUGAGGAAGCCACGGCUAACUCCGUGCCAGCAGCCGCGGUAAUACGGAGGUGGCAAGCGUUGUUCGGAAUUACUGGGCGUAAAGGGCGCGUAGGCGGCUUGGCAAGUCAGAUGUGAAAGCCCCGAGCUUAACUUGGGAACUGCAUCUGAAACUGCUUAGCUUGAGUCCUGGAGGGGAUAGUGGAAUUCCCAGUGUAGCGGUGAAAUGCGUAGAUAUUGGGAGGAACACCUGCGGCGAAGGCGGCUAUCUGGACAGUGACUGACGCUGAGGCGCGAAAGCUAGGGGAGCGAACGGGAUUAGA
Molecule: ribosomal RNA, 425 nt
Filed under: uncultured bacterium
Lineage: Bacteria
Description: bacterial SSU rRNA
Rfam family: Bacterial small subunit ribosomal RNA
Source: RNAcentral